This 253-nucleotide ribosomal RNA is filed under the name uncultured bacterium. RNAcentral describes it as "partial 16S ribosomal RNA". It matches the Rfam family "Bacterial small subunit ribosomal RNA", at positions 524 to 776 of the family's 1533-position model. The record is from RNAcentral.
UACGAAGGGGGCUAGCGUUGUUCGGAUUUACUGGGCGUAAAGCGCACGUAGGCGGAUCGUUAAGUCGGGGGUGAAAUCCUGGAGCUCAACUCCAGAACUGCCUACGAUACUGGCGAUCUUGAGUCCGGAAGAGGUGAGUGGAACUCCUAGUGUAGAGGUGGAAUUCGUAGAUAUUAGGAAGAACACCAGUGGCGAAGGCGGCUCACUGGUCCGGUACUGACGCUGAGGUGCGAAAGCGUGGGGAGCAAACAGG